GAUAAAUAGGUGUUCUGUGUGAAGUUUCUUGGUAAUAUUUAUGGAUCUUGAAAUGACGCGACACCACGAGGUCAAACGGAAGAAAUGCGAUGGUUUUCCUUAUCUACGAGUUGGUUUUACAGGUAUAACUUAUCUCAGAUCAUUCUAUCUAGUUAUUGUGAAUGGUUUUACUUGUACAUUUUUAGUGAUCACCUUACAAGUGAUAACAGUAAAUGUAGCUGCCAAUGGAUAAAAGCAGCAUAGGAGGUUAGGUUUCUGGGAAAAAAAGAUAACAAUAUGGAGAAUAUCCUCGAUUGAUGUUUGAGUUAAUUUCGAUCAACGAGAAUCCAGGGAGGUUUCAUAUGUAUGACUAACGGACUCGGCACCUCCCUUUCGGCAAUAUCAGAGUCAUUCGAUGCUUAAAAUGUCGAUAAUCUGAGCAUUUUAUUUUGCUCAUUUUUUUCCAUUUUUGUAUCUUUUUGAGUAUCUGACGAUGUUGUUUACUUCAUCAGCUGAACAUUCUCUUUCGAAAAAAAUACAUUCU
This 523-nucleotide unclassified non-coding RNA is filed under the name Hevea brasiliensis (rubber tree). Lineage: Eukaryota; Viridiplantae; Streptophyta; Magnoliopsida; Malpighiales; Euphorbiaceae. The record is from RNAcentral.